ACUUUCAAUUCAAGGCGCAGGUUUAAUUUUAAUCAAUCGUUCUGUUAAAAAGAGAAAUUUAUCCCCCUGCUGAGAAAUUUAAAUGUUUCAGCUCGUAGAUACGGCUCGUCUGACGCGCAUGCAAAUUUUAAUCUGCAAAAAGGGUUUGCAACGGAUUCAUUGCAUUUGUGUUAGUUAGACGAGGUAGUUCUCUUCUGUGAAAGAUGGAUUUUCAGUUAAUAAUCAUUUGCGUGUCACAGUGAAACUGUUUGCUAAACAGGAAUACACGGCAUGGUGAUCGGCAAGGAGAAUUUCAACUUUUAUCUAUUGAUCCUAAUCAACGCCUUCGAACAUAAUUUAACGCCCCACGCAGGUGCACUUGGACAAUGCAUCUAAAAAAAACACUGCAAAUGUUUAUUAAUUAUCGCCUUUGUUGAUGUACUGCGAAGUGCUAUUAACUGAGAGUAAAAAAACGUGUUAACUGUAGAAGUGCUGACACUUUUAUAUUAUCCAUUAUGAUACUCGGCCACUUCUCACUGUGCGAAGAAAAGAAAAAAAUUUUCAGUGGUAAUAAUUGGCUUAAGAGAAAAACGAUUUAGGACUCAAUAGAAGCGAGUUAACGGCUGAGUGCAAAGCUGAUUUUAAAAUAUUAACAAUAUAGGGCACAGAUAGGAAUUAUCCAUUGAAGUUCAAAGAAAUGACAGAUGAAUAGCCUACUAACUCACGGCCAUUACAUUAACAGUUAUCUAAUUGCAAAACAUCGUGGACAUCUGCAUUCUAUAAUGUAUCGAGAAAAGAUGGUGACGCCUUCAUAAAAGGUUUAUGUGCUUCACAUAAAUGCAGUUUUUUCAGUGAAGUGCUUGGAAUCAGUAUGCAAACGUAAGUGAUAACAGCUCUGUGCUAAUACUGAUCAAUCAUGGAACGAGGCUAUCGCAGACCGUAGACGUUGUUAAAACUUGCCUUUAGGCCUGUCGACUUUUAGAGCGGGGGGUAGUUGGUGUAUGACUCAUUGGGAGCCAAAAUGCGAGUCCUUAUCUUUCUCUAACCCUGUCAUUAAGCCUUAAUGAACACGGCAUACAAUGUCGUCAUUGGUACUCUAUGUGAUUCAGAUCACAUUUCAACCUGUAGGUAAAAUUACAAGUUACGAAUUGAUAUUAGCUGAAAUUUCCUCUAUCGCCAACCUUCCCCCCCCCUCUCUUUUGACCUUGUAGCUCGAUGGGUAGCGGCGUUCAACUUGUAGCUUGGGGCACAAUUUAGUCCUCAUCAGAGCCUGAAUUAUUGAACAGGUGUAAUGGAUCCAGAUGGGAACAUUAUCAGACAGGAUGCUUUGCUUUUUAUUUCUCUUUUAUUAGUUUGCGUUAAAAUCAUCCCUCCGGUCGUGUUCAAAGAUCAAUCCACAGCCUUUUCACGAAAAAAAUAUUUUCAUAGAGUGAAAUUUGGAAAAUCAUAACCUCUAGAACGACUAUCGGCCUCUCAGCCUAUAGCAAUCUAGAAAGAUGUCACAACUUCUUUUUUCAUGAUUACCCGCGGUGUUAUUUGCAUACUGAUUGUGAGUCCUAAGGGAUGUUUGCGAAAAUUUUUUGCAUUGCAAAUAUAUUUUCACCAAUUAGUAUUCAUGUCAGUUGCGUUAGAAGCUUCACAGGCGGAGUUCAGAGCUAAUCCAGGCUAUUUGGUAUGAAGCUUUUUGUUUUUGGCCGUGCGAAUUGCUGCUCAGCAUGUUCCAGCGAGUUCUAAUGUCUGAGCAUCGAAGCUGAAAUGAUAAGUAGCCUCGCAGAUCAGUUUUUGGUGCGUAAGGAUCUUCCCACGUGGCCCUCACCGUCGACAACAACGAGCUUCUUUGUCAAUUUGUGAGAUGACCGAAGUCGGAGUUCAUGUGAUAAUGAAACAGAAAGCUAGGGAUAGUAAUGGAUCGAUCGCUAUCAAGAACAACAUUCUAUAAACAGUUGCCAUUACCACAGGUUUGAAAGACGAUGGCACAAGACAAGAGGAAUUUAUGGGCUUGAAUAAAGUUUUUCUCCCUUUGACACACGCGUAGUUAAAGGAAUGUAUGCACACCGAAGCGCUUUUCAAAGGGCCAACGUUAUUCCGUAUUUUUACGCGAAAAUAUCAUUGGCAACAGAAUGACCUAAAAUCUAUUUUUCCGAAAAAAAACUGAGUCUUUUGGCGGGAAAUUAUAACCAGGACUAUUAAUAACCUUAAAUACAUUUGUGAAAAUCAACACU
This is an RNA transcript of Pocillopora damicornis (cauliflower coral), 2201 nucleotides long. It is a transcript of the gene named galanin receptor type 1, with no coding region annotated. NCBI's taxonomy places the organism in Eukaryota, Metazoa, Cnidaria, Anthozoa, Scleractinia, Pocilloporidae. The record is from RefSeq and is a predicted model, not a curated record.